Molecule: long non-coding RNA, 727 nt
Filed under: Homo sapiens (human)
Lineage: Eukaryota; Metazoa; Chordata; Mammalia; Primates; Hominidae
Description: HSALNT0382336
Source: RNAcentral
UCAUAUGAGGACAAGCGUUAUCAGCGACCUUUUCUAGCAAAAGAAACAGGCCCCAGAAGUUAAAGAACCUUGUGAAGUUUCUUUAGCUAAGUGGAGAUAAGAAAACCCAUCUAAUGGAAGUGGAAUUGUGAAGUUCAGUUGUAAAGUGUUUAGAAUGACACCUGGCAAAUAAUACAUCUCCAUCAUCAGUUGAGAAUUCUGGUUCUGCUGUUGACUGGAGCUGAAUUCCUUCAUACAGGCAAGUAUCUGGGGUUAAACAUUAAAAGGGAUGGAGGACAGAGAUUUUUUUUUUUUAUCCUGCUACUUCCCUUUCAAGCUCUCUUCCAUCUCAGAAGCCACUGUCUCACCAGGUUGUGGCCUCUAGCCCAAGGAACUUCUCUCAUUAUUGGUAGAGUACAGAUAACUAGAUAGGACCUAUGAAUCUGCAGGUCUUUCUGGGUUCCCAGGUUACCAGACCCACCAUUGUCCUCACAGUUAUAUGCAAAGGUAUGGCCACAGCUGUGGCGGGCUGCUGUGGCUUGUCUCCACCAAACCCCAUGUUUAAAUUUGAUCCCCAGUGUUGGAGGUGGGGCCUAAUAGGAGGUAUCUGGGUCAUGGGGGUGGAUCCCUCACGAAUACAUUAAUGCUCUCUCUGAAGGUGGUAAGUUCUUAUUCUAUAAGUUCCUGAGAGAGCUGGGUUUUUAAAAAAAUAUCAAUUAUAUAUAUAUAGUGGGCCAUAAAAACUAUC